Molecule: unclassified non-coding RNA, 373 nt
Filed under: soil metagenome
Description: partial contains 5.8S ribosomal RNA, internal transcribed spacer 2, and large subunit ribosomal RNA
Rfam family: 5.8S ribosomal RNA (bases 1-121)
Source: RNAcentral
GAUGAAGAACGCAGCGAAAUGCGAUAAGUAAUGUGAAUUGCAGAAUUCCAGUGAGUCAUCGAAUCUUUGAACGCACAUUGCGCCCUUUGGUAUUCCGAAGGGCAUGCCUGUUCGAGCGUCAUUAUCACCCCUCAAGCCCUCGGCUUGGUGUUGGACGGUUUGGUGGAGGCCCCCUCGGGGGCUCCUGCCCCUCCCAAAGACAAUGACGGCGGCCUCGUUGGACCCCCGGUACACUGAGUUCUUCACGGGACACGUAUCGGACACAUGGGUUUACGGGACACGGUCUGCCUCCCCUCAGGGAGAAUCUUUCUAAGGUUGACCUCGGAUCAGGUAGGGAUACCCGCUGAACUUAAGCAUAUCAAUAAGCGGAGGA